GAGGUUGUGGUGUAGCGGCAGCACAGCGGACUUUUAAUCCGCAAAGCGUGGGUUCGAAUCCCACCGGCCUCAC
RNAcentral lists this transfer RNA (73 nucleotides) under Pirellula sp. SH-Sr6A. RNAcentral's name for it is "tRNA-Lys". It matches the Rfam family "tRNA". Rfam says of the family: Transfer RNA (tRNA) molecules are approximately 80 nucleotides in length. Their secondary structure includes four short double-helical elements and three loops (D, anti-codon, and T loops). Further hydrogen bonds mediate the characteristic L-shaped molecular structure. tRNAs have two regions of fundamental functional importance: the anti-codon, which is responsible for specific mRNA codon recognition, and the 3' end, to which the tRNAs corresponding amino acid is attached (by aminoacyl-tRNA synthetases). tRNAs cope with the degeneracy of the genetic code in two manners: having more than one tRNA (with a specific anti-codon) for a particular amino acid; and 'wobble' base-pairing, i.e. permitting non-standard base-pairing at the 3rd anti-codon position. The record is from RNAcentral. Lineage: Bacteria; Pseudomonadati; Planctomycetota; Planctomycetia; Pirellulales; Pirellulaceae.